This 348-nucleotide long non-coding RNA is filed under the name Gossypium raimondii (Peruvian cotton). RNAcentral describes it as "long non-coding RNA (GRAI_LNC006700)". Lineage: Eukaryota; Viridiplantae; Streptophyta; Magnoliopsida; Malvales; Malvaceae. The record is from RNAcentral.
AAGUUUAGGGGAAAAAUAAAAAGUUUUGGGGAAUAAAAGUUUGAGGGAAAGUAAAUAGGGGGGAGUAAAAUUUUGGAGGGAAAAUAUUAAAAAAAAUUGGAGGGGGGAGGGUUUGGGAUAAAUGGGAGGUGGGAUGGGAAGGGAAUAAAAGUUUUAGGGGAAAAGUGGGAGGGAGUAAAAAUUUUGGGGGAAAAUAAAAUGUUUUGAGGGUUUUGGGGAGUAAAAUUUUGAGAAAAAAUAAAUGGGAGAGUAAAAUUUUGGUGGGAAAUGGAUUUUGGGUAGAUUGGGGGUUGGGAGGGGAGGGGAGUAAAAGUUUUGGGGGGAAAGUGGGAAGGAGUAAAAGUUUUG